UACGAAGGGUGCAAGCGUUAAUCGGAAUUACUGGGCGUAAAGGGUGCGUAGGCGGUUCGUUAAGUCUGUUGUGAAAUCCCCGGGCUCAACCUGGGAAUGGCAAUGGAUACUGGCGGGCUAGAGUGUGUCAGAGGAUGGUGGAAUUCCCGGUGUAGAGGUGAAAUUCGUAGAUAUCGGGAGGAACACCAGUGGCGAAGGCGGCGACCUGGGCCAAUAUUGACGCUGAGGUGCGAAAGCGUGGGGAGCAAACAGG
Molecule: ribosomal RNA, 253 nt
Filed under: uncultured bacterium
Lineage: Bacteria
Description: partial 16S ribosomal RNA
Rfam family: Bacterial small subunit ribosomal RNA
Source: RNAcentral